UCAAGUGAAGAAGCGCAUACGGUGGAUGCCUUGGCAGUCAGAGGCGAUGAAAGACGUGGUAGCCUGCGAAAAGCUUCGGGGAGUCGGCAAACAGACUUUGAUCCGGAGAUCUCUGAAUGGGGGAACCCACCUAGGAUAACCUAGGUAUCUUGUACUGAAUCCAUAGGUGCAAGAGGCGAACCAGGGGAACUGAAACAUCUAAGUACCCUGAGGAAAAGAAAUCAACCGAGAUUCCCUUAGUAGUGGCGAGCGAACGGGGAUUAGCCCUUAAGCUUCAUUGAUUUUAGCGGAACGCUCUGGAAAGUGCGGCCAUAGUGGGUGAUAGCCCCGUACGCGAAAGGAUCUUUGAAGUGAAAUCGAGUAGGACGGAGCACGAGAAACUUUGUCUGAACAUGGGGGGACCAUCCUCCAAGGCUAAAUACUACUGACUGACCGAUAGUGAACCAGUACCGUGAGGGAAAGGCGAAAAGAACCCCGGAGAGGGGAGUGAAAUAGAACCUGAAACCGUAUGCGUACAAGCAGUGGGAGCCUACUUGUUAGGUGACUGCGUACCUUUUGUAUAAUGGGUCAGCGACUUAUAUUCAGUGGCAAGCUUAACCGUAUAGGGUAGGCGUAGCGAAAGCGAGUCUUAAUAGGGCGUUUAGUCGCUGGGUAUAGACCCGAAACCGGGCGAUCUAUCCAUGAGCAGGUUGAAGGUUAGGUAACACUGACUGGAGGACCGAACCCACUCCCGUUGAAAAGGUAGGGGAUGACUUGUGGAUCGGAGUGAAAGGCUAAUCAAGCUCGGAGAUAGCUGGUUCUCCUCGAAAGCUAUUUAGGUAGCGCCUCAUGUAUCACUCUGGGGGGUAGAGCACUGUUUCGGCUAGGGGGUCAUCCCGACUUACCAAACCGAUGCAAACUCCGAAUACCCAGAAGUGCCGAGCAUGGGAGACACACGGCGGGUGCUAACGUCCGUCGUGAAAAGGGAAACAACCCAGACCGCCAGCUAAGGUCCCAAAGUUGUGGUUAAGUGGUAAACGAUGUGGGAAGGCUUAGACAGCUAGGAGGUUGGCUUAGAAGCAGCCACCCUUUAAAGAAAGCGUAAUAGCUCACUAGUCGAGUCGGCCUGCGCGGAAGAUGUAACGGGGCUCAAACCACACACCGAAGCUGCGGGUGUCACGUAAGUGACGCGGUAGAGGAGCGUUCUGUAAGCCUGUGAAGGUGAGUUGAGAAGCUUGCUGGAGGUAUCAGAAGUGCGAAUGCUGACAUGAGUAACGACAAUGGGUGUGAAAAACCCCCACGCCGAAAGACCAAGGGUUCCUGCGCAACGUUAAUCGACGCAGGGUUAGUCGGUUCCUAAGGCGAGGCUGAAAAGCGUAGUCGAUGGGAAACAGGUUAAUAUUCCUGUACUUCUGGUUACUGCGAUGGAGGGACGGAGAAGGCUAGGCCAGCUUGGCGUUGGUUGUCCAAGUUUAAGGUGGUAGGCUGAAAUCUUAGGUAAAUCCGGGGUUUCAAGGCCGAGAGCUGAUGACGAGUCGUCUUUUAGAUGACGAAGUGGUUGAUGCCAUGCUUCCAAGAAAAGCUUCUAAGCUUCAGGUAACCAGGAACCGUACCCCAAACCGACACAGGUGGUCGGGUAGAGAAUACCAAGGCGCUUGAGAGAACUCGGGUGAAGGAACUAGGCAAAAUGGCACCGUAACUUCGGGAGAAGGUGCGCCGGCUAGGGUGAAGGAUUUACUCCGUAAGCUCUGGCUGGUCGAAGAUACCAGGCCGCUGCGACUGUUUAUUAAAAACACAGCACUCUGCAAACACGAAAGUGGACGUAUAGGGUGUGACGCCUGCCCGGUGCCGGAAGGUUAAUUGAUGGGGUUAGCGCAAGCGAAGCUCUUGAUCGAAGCCCCGGUAAACGGCGGCCGUAACUAUAACGGUCCUAAGGUAGCGAAAUUCCUUGUCGGGUAAGUUCCGACCUGCACGAAUGGCGUAACGAUGGCGGCGCUGUCUCCACCCGAGACUCAGUGAAAUUGAAAUCGCUGUGAAGAUGCAGUGUAUCCGCGGCUAGACGGAAAGACCCCGUGAACCUUUACUGUAGCUUUGCACUGGACUUUGAGCCUGCUUGUGUAGGAUAGGUGGGAGGCUUUGAAGCGUGGACGCCAGUUCGCGUGGAGCCAUCCUUGAAAUACCACCCUGGCAUGCUUGAGGUUCUAACUCUGGUCCGU
RNAcentral lists this ribosomal RNA (2195 nucleotides) under Pseudomonas aeruginosa PS75. RNAcentral's name for it is "bacterial LSU rRNA". It matches the Rfam family "Bacterial large subunit ribosomal RNA", at positions 3 to 2236 of the family's 2925-position model. Lineage: Bacteria; Pseudomonadati; Pseudomonadota; Gammaproteobacteria; Pseudomonadales; Pseudomonadaceae. The record is from RNAcentral.